RNAcentral lists this long non-coding RNA (625 nucleotides) under Homo sapiens (human). RNAcentral's name for it is "long non-coding RNA NONHSAT171768.1". Lineage: Eukaryota; Metazoa; Chordata; Mammalia; Primates; Hominidae. The record is from RNAcentral.
CACAAUGACCUGGAACACGGGAACACCCACCUUUAGAGAUGAGACACAAGCAGGAGAAGAGGGAUUAAACCUGCUAGUUUUGGAAAAAAAAAAAAAAAGGAAAGAAAAGAAAAGAAAGAAAGAAAAACAAAAAACAACAACAAACAGAAAAAUGCAAAACUGCAGAACACGCAGUGGAGGUUGGAUUCAGAGGACAUGGGGAUCAGUGUGGGCUGUGCUGGUCAAGGAGGGCUUCCAGGGAGAUAACUAGAAACCAGGCUUCAGAUGUCUUGGGUACCAGUUAUAAAGAUUCAGAAUCGGCAACUGAGGAUUCACUGCAAUUGUUCCUUGAGAAGAUGAGGAUCAGGUCGGGAAUUGGAAACAUCUGAGGGCUCAAUUCAACCUGGCUUCUAAAACGAACAUGGUGAACAUAGAUCAACUACUGAACUUCUUUUAACCUCUGGCAUCCUAUCUGUGAAUGGUGGGGAGGAAACAGGGUCCACCCGCUGCUGCACAAGAGGGGUGUGUGCAGACCGUCACCUUGUGUCUGCUGUAGCAGGAGACCCCUGGCCAUGCGGGACUGAACCCAUGAUUGCAGCUGAUCUUACUCUGUCUCUUCUCUGUGUGAGUAAAGUGUUGUUCCAUC